GAGUAAAGAUUUCGGUCGCUUUGGGAGGAGCUCGCUUACUAUCAGCUUGUUGGUAGGGUAAUGGCCUACCAAGGCUAUGACGGUUAGGGGGUGUGAGAGCAUGACCCCCAGCAUUGGCACUGAAACACUGGCCAAACACCUACGGGUGGCUGCAGUCGAGAAUCUUCCACAAUGGGGGAAACCCUGAUGGAGCGAUGCUGCGUGCGGGAUGAAGGCCUUCGGGUUGUAAACCGCUUUUGUAGGGGACGAAAUUUUUGACGGUACCCUUUCGAAUAAGAGGUUGCUAACUCUGUGCCAGCAGCAGCGGUAAUACAGAGACCUCAAGCGUUAUCCGGAUUUACUGGGCGUAAAGCGUCUGUAGGGGGUUUAUUAAGUUCCAAGUAAAAUUUCAAGGCUCAACUUUGAAUUCGCUUGGAAAACUAAUAAACUGGAGUCUAGCAGAGGUGCAUGGAACUUGUGGUGUAGGAGUGAAAUCCGUUGAUAUCACAAGGAACACCAAAGGCGAAGGCAUUGCACUGGGCUAGCACUGACCCUGAGAGACGAAAGCGUGGGGAGCAAAACGGAUUAGAUACCCGUGUAGUCCACGCCCUAAACGAUGAAUGCUAAAUGUUCGGGGAUUCGACCCCCUGGGUGUUACAGCUAACGCGUUAAGCAUUCCGCCUGGGAAGUACGGCCGCAAGGCUAAAACUCAAAGGAAUAGACGGGGAUCCGCACAAGCGGUGGAGCGUCUGGUUUAAUUCGACAGUAAGCGUGGUACCUCACCAGGGUUUGACAUCCCUUGACAGCCUUGGAAACAAGGUUUCCUUCGGGCAAGGUGACCGGUGCUGCAUGGUCGUCGUCAGUUCGUGCCGUGAGGUGUUCCGUUAAGUCGGGAAACGAACGAAACCCCUAUUGCAUGUUACAAUUUCUCAUGCAAGACUGCCCGGAUAUACUGGGAGGAAGGUGGGGAUGACGUCAGAUCUGCACGGUCCUUAUACCCUGGGCGACACAGGCGCUACAAUGGCAGAGACAAAGGGUUGCAAAACCGCAAGGUGAAGCUAAUCCCAAAAACUUCGUCUAAGUUCGGAUUGAAGGCUGCAAUUCGCCUUCAUGAAGCUGGAAUCGCUAGUAAUCGUGAAUCCGCCACGUCACGGUGAAUAUGUUCCCGGAUCUUGCACUCACCGCCCGUCACACCAAGAGAGUUGGUAGCUCCCGAAG
This 1197-nucleotide ribosomal RNA is filed under the name uncultured organism. RNAcentral's name for it is "bacterial SSU rRNA". It matches the Rfam family "Bacterial small subunit ribosomal RNA", at positions 199 to 1426 of the family's 1533-position model. The record is from RNAcentral.